Molecule: long non-coding RNA, 3888 nt
Organism: Mirounga angustirostris (Northern elephant seal)
Lineage: Eukaryota; Metazoa; Chordata; Mammalia; Carnivora; Phocidae
Exons: 3
Source: RefSeq, a predicted model, not a curated record
GUAACCCUAAAACAGGAAAAAGGCACCACGCUCCUGCAGCUGGAAGAGCGGCCGGACCGGCCAGGGCGACCUGCGGGGGGGCUCGGGGACUCACGCGUCGCGUCCCAAUCCCCGUGCGCCCCCGCCACCCCCCCACCUGCUCCCUGCGGCUCGGGUCCCGGGGUGGCCAGCGGCGCUCUCCGAGCCCACCGGGGAGGGGGGAACGCGGAGGGGGGGGGAAGGGGUGCUGCCAAGCAGGUGUCCCAUUUGCAUUCCAGUGGCAAAGGGGCGCGCCCACUGGAUCGGACAACAAAGACACCAUUGAAGCAGGUGUCCCAUUUGCAUUCCAGUGGCAAAGGGGCGCGCCCACUGGAUCGGACAACAAAGACACCAUUGAAGCAGGUGUCCCAUUUGCAUUCCAGUGGCAAAGGGGCGCGCCCACUGGAUCGGACAACAAAGACACCAUUGAAGCAGGUGUCCCAUUUGCAUUCCAGUGGCAAAGGGGCGCGCCCACUGGAUCGGACAACAAAGACACCAUUGAAGCAGGUGUCCCAUUUGCAUUCCAGUGGCAAAGGGGCGCGCCCACUGGAUCGGACAACAAAGACACCAUUGAAGCCAGGGCUCCGCCUUCCGCAGCCCAGCGGGGACCGAGGGCGGUCUCCCCGGGAGGUGUUCGCUGCCCGCCGUCCCCACCCAGAGCUCGGCCCGAUUCGGUCAUGGGUGACCGCGGGACUUCUGAGAAACGCCAGCUGGGCCCAGUUGCUGCAACUUUAGGACCGUUUCCCACAGAGAGCGCCGAGGCCCUUUGAAAGGCUGGGACAACAGCACCUCCUUCCCGCUCACCCACAGUCCCAGCCACUCUGCAGAGUUUUCGGGGACACAACUACAAGCACACGCUGCGGGAGAAAUGAUGGCCAGACCUCAAAUGCCCCAGCCAUCUCUCCGUUUCCCUGAAGCCCUGCAGACCAGAGACCUGAACAUGGCUGAUUUUUCACACUUGCUGGGCAAACUUCUCUGUUAACGUGGUCAUUUCAACGGUAUUCUUUUAAUGACUUCCAACAUUAACAUAUGAGAUGAUGUCCAGAAGGAUGGAGGGAAACUGAAAAUUCAUGUGGAGAAUGGAGAAAAGCACACUGAUAACGUCUCCCUGGCAUGGAGAUCAUUAUGGCACCAGGACGACUGAGGCUCAGGAAACUUUAGCAGAUGAUCCAGGCAGAAUGAUGACAUCGGGUAAAUGAUUCUCUCCUUGACUUUGAGUCUCUGCCACCCUGGCCAUCAUACAUAUUUUACGGACCUGCCAACAGUGCCUUCCUCUUUUUUUUGAAGAGUAUAAAGAUUAAAUUCACUUCUCUUUCCCUGAGCGCACACAGAUGGCUUAUCUGCUCUGGGGUUUUGUGUUUUCAAGCCCCUACUUGUAACCUCUCAGAACUUAUCUAAAAAUAAUCACCAAAGCUGCAAAUCCAGAUUUUCAGAUCAGGAAAUAUUCUCUGAUUUAUGAACUGUACAAGUUGGAUGUAACUGACAAAGCCUCGUCACUCAUCACAGACUAUUUCUCUCCAGCUUGCCUCUCUCCCUAUCUCUCUGUGCAUGGCUCAGAAACCCCAUUUAAGAUGAGAUUACAACAUAGCCUCUUUAACCUUAGCAGCUGGGCCAUCAGCGCUGGCCUUUGGUUCUGAGACCAGUGAAUGAGCCCCAAUGCCUGCCUAUACUGAUCAACAUGAUGUUCUUCUGAACACAGAGAUGCAGCCUGAAUUGCUUUUGGUAAAAUUCCAUUCCAGGCAAACACCUGGAUUCAUGCCACUGAUUGGACCUGUGCAGACAUUUGUCUAUCUUCUGAGAAUUAUUCUUCAAAAUGCUGGAAGACAUAAAGUUUUACGUAUCUCCAAAUCCAAAAUGAAAAAUGAGAUCUGGUUUAUGUGCUACAAAUUGAAAAGGCCUGCUACCUCUCAUACCUGUGGACCUCCUAAUCAGAAGAAUAGAAUUUCCUUUUUUAGUUUAGAAAUACCUUUUAUAGCAUUAUUCACAAUAGCCAAGAUAUGAAAACAACCUGUCUGUCAACAGAUGGACAAAGACUAUAUAUAAAAAUAUAUAUAUAAAAUAUAUAAAAUGAAUAUCUUCAUAAACUAUAUAGUUUAUGAAGAAUAGUUUUCCUUUUGCUUGAUGACUUCACAUUCUCUUUCCAAGUUUCCCAGUCAAAAGUAUGACCAACUCAACUUGGAAUAACUUCCUGCUCAUGACAGGAAGAGAAAAAAGUCCCUUUGCUUUUCCAGUGGUAGGAGGAGAUAAAUCUCCCAAGGAAAGAAAAAAAUCCUCUGGCUACACUUCCCUGACUCGAGAAAGAGCAUAACUAGGACACAGGUCUUUUGACUUUGAAUCCAUUACAUAUGCUGGACUUGCAAAUCUAACUGUCCACAGUAGCCAGAUGGGUAAUAUAAAAAUGAAGCAGGCCAUAUUUGUCUUAUAAUGGCACCUGUGGCCGCGAUAGUUCCUGCUCCCCAAAUAUUCUGUGUGCUCCCCUACAGUUAGCUUAGGACCCUGUGACUAUUUCUGACCAAUGGACCAUGCAUGGAAGCAACUGUCUCACUUCUCGGUCAGGGCUGUUGACAGCAAGGGCACACCUCCAUUUCUCUCUUCCUUCACUGCUGUGACUUUAGAUUUCAAGUCUCCCGUGUAAGAGGAAGAUAGUCCCCGAUCUACAUUCUAUAGUAUGCAAGGUAGGAAGAAAUCUAUUGUUAAGCCACUGAGAUUCUUCAAGUUUUGUCCAGAGCGGCAGCUAAUAUUAAUUACCCAAAUGUGACAUCUUAAACUGUCUACUUGAACACAGAUAUGCUUUGUUUCUCGAACAUUCCCAGUGAAACAUGUUGUCUCCUGUUUUUCUUAAAAAAAUCUAAUGCUUGCAAACCAUACAUUAGAUAUGGAGUCCAUAUCCAAAAUACAUAAAGAACUCCUGUAACUUGGGGCACGUGGUUGGUUCAGUCCGUUAAGACCCCGACUCCUGAUUUCAGCUCAGGUCAUGACCUCAGGGUCGUGAGAUUGAGUCCCGAGUUGGGCUCCUCACUGGGCAUGGAGCCUGCUUCAGAUUUCCUCUCUCCCUCUGCCCUUCCCCCCACUCAUGCUCUAUCUUUCUCUAAAAUAAAUAAAUAAAAUCUUUUAAGAAAAGAACUCAUAUAAAAUGACAACAAUAACAAAUUCUAUUAAAAAAUGGACAGAGGAACUAAACAGACAUUUUUCCAAAGGAGACAUCCAGAUGGUACACAGAAAGAUGCUCAACAUCGCUCAUCAUCACGGAAAUGCAAAUCAAAACCACAAUGCGAUAGCACCUCACACUUGUUAGAAUGUCUAUCAUUAAGAAGACAAGAGAUAACAGCUGUUGGUCAGGUUGGAGAAAAGGGAACCCUCGUGCACCAUUGGUGGGAAUGUAAAUUGGUCCAGCCACUAUGGAAAACAGUAUGGAGGUUCCUCAAAAAAUUAAAAAUAGAACUACCAUAUGAUCCAGCAUUCCACUUCUGGGUAUAUAUUUCCAAAGGAAAAUGAAAACAGGUUAUUGAAGAGAUACCUGCACCCCCAUGUUUAUUAUAGCAUUAUUCACAAUAGCCAAGAUAUGAAAACAACCUGUCUGUCAACAGAUGGACAAAGACUAUAUAUAAAAAUAUAUAUAUAAAAUAUAUAAAAUGAAUAUCUUCAUAAACUAUAUAUAUAUAUAUAUAUAUAGAGAGAGAGAGAGAGAGAGAGAGAGAGAGAAUGAAAUAUUAUUCAGCCUCAAGAAAGAAGCAAAUCGUGCUGUUUGCUGCAAUAUGGACAGACUUCGAGGUCAUUGUGCUAAGUGAGAUUAGGCAGGCAGAGAGAGGGAAACUCUGUAUGCUAUCACUUAUAUGUGGGAUCUAAAACAGCCUGGCUCACAAAAAUGGA